RNAcentral lists this ribosomal RNA (254 nucleotides) under uncultured bacterium. RNAcentral describes it as "partial 16S ribosomal RNA". It matches the Rfam family "Bacterial small subunit ribosomal RNA", at positions 524 to 776 of the family's 1533-position model. The record is from RNAcentral.
CACGUAGGGGGCAAGCGUUGUCCGGAUUCAUUGGGCGUAAAGAGCUCGUAGGCGGCUCAGUAAGUCGGGUGUGAAAUUUCAGGGCUCAACCCUGAAACGCCACCCGAUACUGCUGUGGCUAGAGUCCGGUAGGGGAGCGUGGAAUUCCUGGUGUAGCGGUGAAAUGCGCAGAUAUCAGGAGGAACACCAGCGGCGAAGGCGGCGCUCUGGGCCGGAACUGACGCUGAGGAGCGAAAGCAUGGGUAGCGAACAGG